This is a non-coding RNA of Thamnophis sirtalis, 468 nucleotides long. The record is from the annotation of a RefSeq genome assembly. Lineage: Eukaryota; Metazoa; Chordata; Lepidosauria; Squamata; Natricidae.
AUCAACAUAAACCCUGUGCUAUUUCCAGAAUCCUCUCCUAUCAAUUUCAUCUGUUCAUUACAGGGAGCAAAAAUGUGGCUAAACUUUCUGUCAAUACUUGUAGUCCUCAAAGGAGUCCAAUCUCAAGUCCAGUUGGUGGAGUCUGGAGGGGCUGUGAGAAGACCUGGAGAGUCCCUCCAUCUCUCCUGCCAAGCCUCUGGAUUCCCCUUCUUCAUCUAUGCAAUGCACUGGGUGAGACAGGCUCCAGGGAAAGGACUGGAAUGGGUGUCAUGGAUAACCCAGACUUCUAGCACUUACUAUUCUGACAAAGUGAAGGGGCGCUUCACCAUCUCCAGGGACAACGACAAAAGCCAGCUGUAUCUGCAAAUGAACAGCCUCAAAACUGAAGACACAGGAGUCUAUUACUGUGCAAGAGACACAGUGAGAGGAAGUGAAUCAGAAGUAGCACAAGCCUUUAAGUCGAGGUAG